Molecule: ribosomal RNA, 460 nt
Filed under: uncultured bacterium
Lineage: Bacteria
Description: partial 16S ribosomal RNA
Rfam family: Bacterial small subunit ribosomal RNA
Source: RNAcentral
CCUACGGGCGGCAUCAGUGAGGAAUAUUGGUCAAUGGACGAGAGUCUGAACCAGCCAAGUAGCGUGAAGGAUGACUGCCCUAUGGGUUGUAAACUUCUUUUAUAUGGGAAUAAAAUGUUCCACGUGUGGGAUUUUGUAUGUACCAUAUGAAUAAGGAUCGGCUAACUCCGUGCCAGCAGCCGCGGUAAUACGGAGGAUCCGAGCGUUAUCCGGAUUUAUUGGGUUUAAGGGGAGCGUAGGUGGAUUGUUAAGUCAGUUGUGAAAGUUUGCGGCUCAACCGUAAAAUUGCAGUUGAAACUGGCAGUCUUGAGUACAGUAGAGGUGGGCGGAAUUCGUGGUGUAGCGGUGAAAUGCUUAGAUAUCACGAAGAACUCCGAUUGCGAAGGCAGUUCACUGGACUGCAACUGACACUGAGGCUCGAAAGUGUGGGUAUCAAACAGGAUUAGAUACCCUAGUAGUC